AAAAGCAAAUACUAUGGGUGCCAAAUAACAACCAUUGCAGUGACUGCCUCGGCCUCCUUUUGUUCUGAGUCCUUUGACGUUUUGGAUACUUUUGGAUAUCAAACACCUUGCAACUGCAAGUUUUCAAAUGCAAGUUGACCAAAUAUUCGUUCCCUUCUACUCCCGGACAUUGUAUUCGAGCCGGAAUGUGUUUAGCUCUAUCA
Molecule: small RNA, 203 nt
Filed under: Arabidopsis thaliana (thale cress)
Lineage: Eukaryota; Viridiplantae; Streptophyta; Magnoliopsida; Brassicales; Brassicaceae
Description: ATSL094200
Source: RNAcentral